UAGUGCAUCGGAACGUACCGUGUAGUGGGGGAGUAACGUAGCGAAAGUUACGCUAAUACCGCAUAUGCUCUUCGGAGGAAAGUGGGGGACCGGCAAGGCCUCACGCUAUAUGAGCGGCCGAUGUCUGAUUAGCUAGUUGGAGGGGGUAAAGGGCCCACCAAGGCGACGAUCAGUAGCGGGUCUGAGAGGAUGAUCCGCCACACUGGGACUGAGACACGGCCCAG
This 224-nucleotide ribosomal RNA is filed under the name uncultured bacterium. RNAcentral's name for it is "partial 16S ribosomal RNA". It matches the Rfam family "Bacterial small subunit ribosomal RNA", at positions 111 to 334 of the family's 1533-position model. The record is from RNAcentral.